This 29-nucleotide small RNA is filed under the name Bombyx mori (domestic silkworm). RNAcentral's name for it is "ovarian small RNA-22711". Lineage: Eukaryota; Metazoa; Arthropoda; Insecta; Lepidoptera; Bombycidae. The record is from RNAcentral.
UAGGCUUGAAGAUUGAUAACUAACCCUAA